CAGUGAUGAUGAUGGUCUUCCCCGAACCAUCCACAUACUCUCAACUCGGAGCUAGAGUGAACACUGGAAAUCUUGGCCAUGUCUUCCCUGGUUGCUUCUGGGGCUGCUGGCCUUGGGGAUCUCUGCUAACCUCCCCAGGAAACUAUCUGCGGGCAAGAGUUUCUCUUUUGAUGCAGUUGUGGUUUUGCAAGUCUGUCUCUUUAGGAUUCUGAGACUGCAACCAGCUGUGGAAUGUGAUCAAGGUAAGAGGAGAGUGAUGGGAUCCUGAGAUGGAGAGGAAAGAGACAAUAGAACUACCAAAAUGGAAAAAGCAACCCCUGGAAACUGGAAUCAAAAAUUUCUGUCAGACGUAAGAGGUGGUAACAAAGCUGGACUGAGAAUGCUGCUGUGUUAACACCUUUGGAGUCUGAGCAAGUUGUACUUGGAGAAGUAAUGCUCACCUCGCACAGGCCAGGGGUGGAGAGGUGCCUUGCUACAUUUUUUUUUGAGGGAGGCAGGUCUCUCAGGAGGACCAUUUUAAACAUGAAUGGCAGCCCUGUGCCUCAUGUCUGGGAUUCCUCCCCAAAGGCAGGCCUGCCCUGGGGCUAGAGGGAAACAGCUGGGUUUAGUGGAAAGAACAACGGGCCUGGGAAUCAGGGGACCUGGAUUCUAAUUCCAGCUCUGCCAUUUGCCUACUGAGUAAUUAUGGGGAAGUCCCUUUUUUAUGAUACUUAAGCACUUACUAUGUGCCAGGCACUGUCCUAUGUGCUGUGGUAGAUAUAGCAUAAUCAUAUUAGACACAAUCCAAGCCCCAUAUUGGGCUCACAGUCUGAAUCCUCAUUUUGCAAAUGAGGUAACUGAUUUCUCUGUGCCUCAA
Ornithorhynchus anatinus (platypus) is the source of this 856-nucleotide long non-coding RNA. RefSeq lists it as uncharacterized. The transcript is spliced from 5 exons. The record is from RefSeq and is a predicted model, not a curated record. NCBI's taxonomy places the organism in Eukaryota, Metazoa, Chordata, Mammalia, Monotremata, Ornithorhynchidae.